RNAcentral lists this ribosomal RNA (478 nucleotides) under uncultured bacterium. RNAcentral's name for it is "partial 16S ribosomal RNA". It matches the Rfam family "Bacterial small subunit ribosomal RNA", at positions 28 to 523 of the family's 1533-position model. The record is from RNAcentral.
GACGAACGCUGGCGGCGUGCUUAACACAUCCAAGUCGAACGGUAAGGCCCUUCGGGGUACACGAGUGGCGAACGGGUGAGUAACACGUGGGUGAUCUGCCCUGCACUUCGGGAUAAGCCUGGGAAACUGGGUCUAAUACCGGAUAGGACCACUGCCUGCAUGGGUGGUGGUGGAAAGCUUUUGCGGUGUGGGAUGGGCCUGCGGCCUAUCAGCUUGUUGGUGGGGUGAUGGCCUACCAAGGCGACGACGGGUAGCCGGCCUGGGAGGGCGACCGGCCACACUGGGGAUGGGAUACAGCCCGGACUCCUACGGGAGGCAGCAGUGGGGAAUAUUGCACAAUGGGCGCAAGCCUGAUGCAGCGACGCCGCGUGAGGGAUGACGGCCUUCGGGUUGUAAACCUCUUUCAGCACCGACGAAGCGCAAGUGACGGUAGGUGCAGAAGAAGGACCGGCCAACUACGUGCCAGCAGCCGCAGUAA